RNAcentral lists this ribosomal RNA (480 nucleotides) under uncultured bacterium. Its description in RNAcentral is "partial 16S ribosomal RNA". It matches the Rfam family "Bacterial small subunit ribosomal RNA", at positions 28 to 523 of the family's 1533-position model. The record is from RNAcentral.
AAUGAACGUUGGCGGCGUGGAUUAGGCAUGCAAGCCGAGCGCGAACCCCGCAAGGGGUGAAAGCGGCGAAAGGGAGAGUAACGCGUGGGUAUCUGCCCUCGGGACUGGGAUAGCUGCGGGGAACUGCAGGUAAUACCAGAUGACGUCCCCGGACCAAAGGUGUGAUUCCGCCUGAGGAUGAGCCCGCGUCCUAUUAGCUAGUUGGUGGGGUAAUGGCCUACCAAGGCAAUGAUGGGUACUGGGUGUGAGAGCACGACCCAGCUCACUGGGACUGAGACACUGCCCAGACACCUACGGGUGGCUGCAGUCGAGAAUCUUCGGCAAUGGGCGAAAGCCUGACCGAGCGACGCCGCGUGUGGGAUGAAGGCCUUCGGGUUGUAAACCGCUGUCAGAGGGGAGGAAUGGGCGGAGGGUAAUCUCUUCGUUUUGACCUAUCCUCAGAGGAAGUACGGGCUAAGUUCGUGCCAGCCGCCGCGGUAA